RNAcentral lists this ribosomal RNA (553 nucleotides) under uncultured bacterium. Its description in RNAcentral is "bacterial SSU rRNA". It matches the Rfam family "Bacterial small subunit ribosomal RNA", at positions 777 to 1329 of the family's 1533-position model. The record is from RNAcentral.
AAUAGAUACCCAGGUAGUCCAUGCCGUAAACGUUGGGCACUAGGUGUGGGGGACAUUCCACGUUUUCCGCGCCGUAGCUAACGCAUUAAGUGCCCCGCCUGGGGAGUACGGCCGCAAGGCUAAAACUCAAAGGAAUUGACGGGGGCCCGCACAAGCGGCGGAGCAUGCGGAUUAAUUCGAUGCAACGCGAAGAACCUUACCAAGGCUUGACAUGGACCGGACCGCCGCAGAAAUGUGGUUUCCCCUUUGGGGCCGGUUUACAGGUGGUGCAUGGUUGUCGUCAGCUCGUGUCGUGAGAUGUUGGGUUAAGUCCCGCAACGAGCGCAACCCUCGUUCUAUGUUGCCAGCGGUUCGGCCGGGGACUCAUAGGAGACUGCCGGGGUCAACUCGGAGGAAGGUGGGGACGACGUCAAAUCAUCAUGCCCCUUAUGUCUUGGGCUUCACGCAUGCUACAAUGGCCGGUACAAAGGGUUGCGAUACUGUGAGGUGGAGCUAAUCCCAAAAGCCGGUCUCAGUUCGGAUUGGGGUCUGCAACUCGACCCCAUGAAGUCGG